Molecule: ribosomal RNA, 448 nt
Filed under: uncultured bacterium
Lineage: Bacteria
Description: partial 16S ribosomal RNA
Rfam family: Bacterial small subunit ribosomal RNA
Source: RNAcentral
UGGGGAAUAUUGCACAAUGGGCGCAAGCCUGAUGCAGCCAUGCCGCGUGUGUGAAGAAGGCCUUCGGGUUGUAAAGCACUUUCAGCGAGGAGGAAGGUGUGAGCUUAAUACGCUCAUCAAUUGACGUUACUCGCAGAAGAAGCACCGGCUAACUCCGUGCCAGCAGCCGCGGUAAUACGGAGGGUGCAAAGCGUUAAUCGGAAUUACUGGGCGUAAAGCGCAGCAGGCGGUUUGUUAAGUCAGAUGUGAAAAUCCCCGGGCUCAACCUGGGAACUGCAUUUGAAACUGGCAAGCUAGAUCUCGUAGAGGGGGGUAGAAUUCCAGGUGUAGCGGUGAAAUGCGUAGAGAUCUGGAGGAAUACCGGUGGCGAAGGNGGCCCCCUGGCGAAGACUGACGCUCAGGUGCGAAAGCGUGGGGAGCAAAACAGGAUUAGAUACCCUGGUAGUCC